UAUUGAGCACAUACCAUGUGCUGGAACUCAAGGUAGUUGUUGGCACCAUAGCCAUAAAGCAAGGAAACACAGAAUGGUUGCCCUCAUGGGGAUCAGAGCCUGGCAGGGAAAACAAGUACUGACCAAAUGUUACACGUCUGAUGGGUGUUUCAAGAGCAGCUUCUCUAGGAACCCAAGCAGGGGAAUUUGAUGUCCUGAACCAGCGACAUUCCAGCCAGGGCCAAAAUAACGGUGAUGGGAGGCCAGGGAAGGUUUCAGGCAGAGCUGAUGACCUGCAUGCAGCCGACAUUUAUUUGCAGCACAUUUUGCAGACAUUUAUUGCGUGCCAGGUUCUGUGCUCAGCACAUGAUGAUCAUUAUCUUGUUCAGCCUUCCCAAGUGCCUUGAAGCUGGUGCUAUUUCUAUAAACUUUUUAGCCAAGGAGAAAACUAAGGUUCAGAGAAGUGACAUGAUUUGCCUGAGGAAACACAGCUAAUAGUGGGAGGAGCCAAGGUACAGCAGCAGGAGCCAUGAUGGGAGAACAGCUCUCAGAUGGAUGCAUGGAUGUGCUGGCCUGGUGGAGUCUGGAUGGGCCACAGGACAGUGGGAAACGCUGUGGGUUCCACUGGGUGGGGGUAACUCAGAACUUUGCUUUAUUUACCCCAAACAUCAGAAUCCUCAGGGUGACAUAGAGCUGGAACAGGCCUUUUGGAUUGUUUUCCAACCUCCUCAACCUCAAAGUGGGGUAACUGAGGUCCAGAGAGGAGACGGACUUUGCUUAAAUCCUACAAUGACUCUGGGCAGAAUCAGGCCCAGAAUCUAGUGGAGCAGAAGGUAUUCAGGCUGCCAGAGGAUCAACACCAAGAGCAGAGAGGCACAGCUGCCCUUUUGCACUGUGUCCCUGUGCCUGGCACAUUAGAGGCACUCAGGUGAGAAUUCUUGAGCAAGGGAGUGCGCAGGGAAGAGCACACAGCCUGGGUGUCUGUCUCGAGCUGGAACCUGUCUCUGAUAGCCAGCUCUGCCUCCCUGGGUAAGUGCUUUCAUCUUGCUGAGCAUCCAUUUCCCAAAAUAAGAUCAGAAACCCACUUGGGAGGUCUCCAAGCAGGGAUUUGAACUCAGGUCUACCUGAUUCCAGGGCAGGUUUUUUUACCCUGCACUUUCUUGAUUCCUUUAUAUAUCUUAUUCAUUCAUACACUGAUUCAUUCAUUCAUCCAGUCAUUUAGAAAAUGUUGAUUGAGCAUCUGCCCUGUGCCAGGCACUGUUCUAGGCUGUGCAAAUUCAGCAGUGAAUGAGGCAAAUGAAGUUUCUGCCCUUGUGGAACUUAAAUUCUAGAAGAGAGAGAUAGACGGUCAACAAAUCAACAAAUAGAAUGGGAAUAGUGGUAGACUGGGCGCGGCGGCUCACGCAUGUAAUCCAAGCACUUUUGGAGGCCGAGGCGGGCAGAUCACUUGAGGUCAGGAGUUCAAGACAACAUAGUGAAACCCCGUCUGUACUAAAAAUAGAAAAGUUAGCUAGACGUGGUGGUGGGCACUUGUAAUCCCAGCUACUCGGAAGGCAGAGGCAGGAGAAUGGCUUGAACCCGGGAGGCGGAGGUUGCGAUGAGCCAAGAUUGUGCCAUUGCACUCCAGCCGGGGCAACAAGAGCGAAACUCCGUCUAAAAAAAAAAAGAAUGAGAAUAGUGGUGAGUGCCCUACAGGAACUAAAACAGGGGAUGGGAGUGGGGAGGGGUCUGCCUUAGACAGUGU
RNAcentral lists this long non-coding RNA (1723 nucleotides) under Homo sapiens (human). Its description in RNAcentral is "non-protein coding lnc-KIAA1671-2:1". Lineage: Eukaryota; Metazoa; Chordata; Mammalia; Primates; Hominidae. The record is from RNAcentral.